RNAcentral lists this transfer RNA (91 nucleotides) under Komagataeibacter sucrofermentans DSM 15973. RNAcentral describes it as "tRNA-Pro". It matches the Rfam family "tRNA". From Rfam's summary of the family: Transfer RNA (tRNA) molecules are approximately 80 nucleotides in length. Their secondary structure includes four short double-helical elements and three loops (D, anti-codon, and T loops). The record is from RNAcentral. Lineage: Bacteria; Pseudomonadati; Pseudomonadota; Alphaproteobacteria; Acetobacterales; Acetobacteraceae.
GCGGCCAUGGUGAAAUUUGGUAAACACAUAUAAUUUGGAAUUAUAGAUACAUUUAAGAGAGUAUUUGAGGGUUCAAGUCCCUCUGGCCGCA